RNAcentral lists this ribosomal RNA (523 nucleotides) under uncultured Glomeromycotina. RNAcentral's name for it is "partial small subunit ribosomal RNA". It matches the Rfam family "Eukaryotic small subunit ribosomal RNA", at positions 568 to 1092 of the family's 1831-position model. Lineage: Eukaryota; Fungi; Glomeromycota. The record is from RNAcentral.
GAUCAGCCGCGGUAAUUCCAGCUCCAAUAGCGUAUAUUAAAGUUGUUGCAGUUAAAAAGCUCGUAGUUGAAUUUCGGGAUCAAUAUGUCGGUCGUGCCUUCGGUACGUACUGGCAUCAUUGAUUCCUACCUUCUGACGAACCAUGAUGUCAUUAAUUUGGUGUCAUGGGGAGUCAGGACUGUUACUUUGAAAAAAUUAGAGUGUUUAAAGCAGGCUCACGCUUGAAUACAUUAGCAUGGAAUAAUGAAAUAGGACGUUUGACCCUAUUUUGUUGGUUUCUAGGAUCAACGUAAUGAUUAAUAGGGAUAGUUGGGGGCAUUAGUAUUCAAUUGUCAGAGGUGAAAUUCUUGGAUUUAUUGAGGACUAACUACUGCGAAAGCAUUUGCCAAGGAUGUUUUCAUUAAUCAAGAACGAAAGUUAGGGGAUCGAAGACGAUCAGAUACCGUCGUAGUCUUAACCAUAAACUAUGCCGACUAGGGAUCGGAUGAUGUUAAUUUUUUAAUGACUCAUUCGGCGCCUUACG